GUACCGUGAGGGAAAGGUGAAAAGCACCCCGACGAGGGGAGUGAAACAGACCCUGAAACCGGACGCCUACAAGCAGUCGGAGCCGCCUUGCGCGGUGACGGCGUACCUUUUGUAUAAUGGGUCAGCGACUUUGUCUCUCGAGCAAGCUUAAGCCGAUAGGUGUAGGCGCAGCGAAAGCGAGUCUGAAUAGGGCGACGAGUUCGAGGGAUAAGACCCGAAACCGAGUGAUCUAGCCAUGUGCAGGUUGAAGGUGCGGUAACACGCACUGGAGGACCGAACCCACGUCUGUUGAAAAAGACGGGGAUGACGUGUGGCUAGGGGUGAAAGGCCAAUCAAACUCGGAGAUAGCUGGUUCUCCGCGAAAUCUAUUUAGGUAGAGCGUCUCGUAUUACCCUCGGGGGUAGAGCACUGGAUGGGCUAGGGGGUCCCAACGACUUACCAAACCUAACCAAACUCCGAAUACCGAGGAGUAGAGCGAGGCAGACACACUGCGGGUGCUAAGGUCCGUAGUGGAGAGGGAAACAGCCCUGACCGCCAGCUAAGGUCCCUAAGUUAUCACUAAGUGGGAAACGAUGUGGGAGUGCUUAGACAACCAGGAGGUUGGCUUAGAAGCAGCCAUCCUUUAAAGAAAGCGUA
RNAcentral lists this ribosomal RNA (636 nucleotides) under Stauroneis constricta. RNAcentral's name for it is "partial Bacterial large subunit ribosomal RNA". It matches the Rfam family "Bacterial large subunit ribosomal RNA", at positions 498 to 1136 of the family's 2925-position model. The record is from RNAcentral. Lineage: Eukaryota; Bacillariophyta; Bacillariophyceae; Naviculales; Stauroneidaceae.